Molecule: long non-coding RNA, 669 nt
Filed under: Cricetulus griseus (Chinese hamster)
Lineage: Eukaryota; Metazoa; Chordata; Mammalia; Rodentia; Cricetidae
Description: lncRNA (ENSCGRG00015029079.1)
Source: RNAcentral
GGCAUAGGGAUCACCACUCUGCUUUCUGGUCUUGGUAUUUUGCUGUUGUGAGCCGCCAGUAGAUCUCACUGAUCUGGCUUUUACAAGUCCUCUUCAGCUGAUACACAAAGACCCCAGUCUGACAGCAUCACUAUGGAGUGAAGACACAACAAUGUCUCUCUUGGUCCCAGCUUUCUCUCCCUUUCAAGGUUCAGCUGCACACUGAACAGAUCUAUCUGAGAACCUUCAUCUAGCAACUGAUGGACACAGAUGCAGAGAUCCACAGCUAAGCACUGGGCCAAGCUCCCAGAGUCCAGUCGAAGAGAGGGAGGAGUGAUAAUAUGAACAAAGAGGUCAAGACCAUGAUGGGGAAACCCUCAGAAACAGCUGACCUGAGCUAAAAGGAGCUCACUGACUCUGGACUGACAGUGUUGGAACCUGCAUACGACCAAACUAGGCCCUCCCAAUGUGGGUGACAGUUGUGUGGCCUGAGCAAUCUACUGGGCUACUGACAAUGGGACCAAGAUUUAUCCCUAGUGUUUGAAAUGGCUUUUUGGAACCCAUUCUCUUUGGAGAGAUACUUUGCUCAGCCUAGAUAUAGUGGGGAGGGCCUUGGUCCUGCCUUAAUGUUAUGUACUAGACUUUGUUGACUCCUCAUGGGAAGCCUUACUCUCCCGAAGGAAUGGAUGG